GGACUACUGGGGUAUCUAAUCCCGUUUGCUCCCCUGGCUUUCGUGUCUCAGUGUCAGCACACCCCCAGCUACCUGUUUUCACCAUUGGCGUUCCAAGCGAUAUCUACGCAUUUCACCGCUCCACCGCUUGUUCCGGUAGCCCCUGAGUGGCUCAAGACACCCAGUAUACCCAGCCAUUCCACGGUUAAGCCGUGGGAUUUCACAAGGUACUUAGGCAUCCACCUACACACGCUUUAAGCCCAGUGAUUCCGCCUAACGCUUGAGGCCUCUGUAUUACCGCGGCUGCUGGCAC
Molecule: ribosomal RNA, 292 nt
Filed under: uncultured bacterium
Lineage: Bacteria
Description: partial 16S ribosomal RNA
Source: RNAcentral